GAUGAACGCUGGCGGCGUGCUUAACACAUGCAAGUCGAACGAAGCACCUUAUUCUGAUUUCUUCGGAAUGAAAAAUUUGGUGACUGAGUGGCGGACGGGUGAGUAACGCGUGGGUAACCUGCCUCAUACAGGGGGAUAACAGUUAGAAAUGACUGCUAAUACCGCAUAAGACCACAGCACCGCAUGGUGCAGGAGUAAAAACUCCGGUGGUAUGAGAUGGACCCGCGUCUGAUUAGGUAGUUGGUGGGGUAACGGCCUACCAAGCCGACGAUCAGUAGCCGACCUGAGAGGGUGACCGGCCACAGUGGGACUGAGACACGGCCCAAACUCCGACGGGAGGCAGCAGUGGGGAAUAUUGCACAAUGGGGGAAACCCUGAUGCAGCGACGCCGCGUGAGCGAUGAAGUAUUUCGGUAUGUAAAGCUCUAUCAGCAGGGAAGAAAAUGACGGUACCUGACUAAGAAGCACCGGCUAAAUACGUGCCAGCAGCUGCGGUAA
Molecule: ribosomal RNA, 497 nt
Filed under: uncultured bacterium
Lineage: Bacteria
Description: partial 16S ribosomal RNA
Rfam family: Bacterial small subunit ribosomal RNA
Source: RNAcentral